Xenopus laevis (African clawed frog) is the source of this 996-nucleotide long non-coding RNA. RefSeq lists it as uncharacterized. The record is from RefSeq and is a predicted model, not a curated record. The transcript has 2 exons. NCBI's taxonomy places the organism in Eukaryota, Metazoa, Chordata, Amphibia, Anura, Pipidae.
AACGUCUCCAACACGUGACAUUCGGCGCCUUAUUCAAAUGGCUGUAUAAAAUAGAUUGCGAGGGGGCAGCCCUCAGUUACUCGGGGGGUUCGAUGAGAAUGGCGGAUUAGUAGUGGCAAUGUGCGCCAUUGAUUGUAUGGGUACAGUGGUCCCAUCUGGAAUGGUUUACUACUCGGUGAUCCAAUACCACCCACAAAGCUGGACAGCCUGAUUCUUCUAACUCAUCAAGACUUACAAAUUCUUUUAAAAAAAAUCAUGUGAUCACAUUAAUGUUGAGAUUUUUCUAAUUGCGAAACAUUUUCCAAAUAUUGAAGGCCUCCAAUCAACUUGUUUAUUAUCCACUGUCAAGAUAGGUGAGCCCAUUGGGUCACCUACCAAAGAAUAUAUUCAGAUUCAUGUCCAUGAUCAUCACUGGAUUACCCUAAUAUAAACUGCUCUCAAUGAACUGCAAAGAAAAACUACAAAUCACAUGGUUCUUGAGAAGUAGUACCACAAAAAACUAAAAAUCAUUGUGAAGGAUGUACAACAACAAGCAAAUGUUUGCGGAUCUCUUGCAUUUCUGCAAGAUCGAUCUCAGCGUUUAUAUAAUGAAUAAAGACUAUGGCAAUGCAUAUUCCAGUGCUUUCAGAAUCAAACUUAAAAAACAUUUAAAACCAAAAAUCGGAAAUCAUGCAAAAGUAGAGAAAUUGGAUUGAAGUUCAGUUCCCAGCUGUUUGUGGACUUUACCUCCUAGAAUACAGUAUUAUUAGGGCUGUUUAUUUAUAGCCAUAUUGCUUAAAUCAUUUUUUAAUAAAAGCCAGUGACGGUAGUUAGUGUUGAUGCUUAAGAAAACUUUUUUAAAAACUAUAGUUGGAGCUACACCUUUUUCAAAUGUUUAUAAAGUUUUUUUUGUUGUUAAAGUUCUUUUCAUAGGGCAGUUUAUUGUUCACAUGGAAUGUAUGGGUAUUUGACUAUUUUUCUACUACAUAAAUAAAAUGGGGGCGGAGGGGAAAUUUA